UGGGAUCGGCGAUUGGGACGAAGUCGUAACAAGGUAGCCGUACCGGAAGGUGCGGCUGGAUCACCUCCUUUCUAAGGAG
RNAcentral lists this ribosomal RNA (79 nucleotides) under Corynebacterium diphtheriae. RNAcentral describes it as "partial 16S ribosomal RNA". The stretch from base 1 to 71 matches the Rfam family "Bacterial small subunit ribosomal RNA", at positions 1463 to 1533 of the family's 1533-position model. The record is from RNAcentral. Lineage: Bacteria; Bacillati; Actinomycetota; Actinomycetes; Mycobacteriales; Corynebacteriaceae.